GCAGGAGUGGUGGAAUUGGUAGACUCGCUAGUUUCAGGUACUAGUGUCCUUCGGGACGUGCGGGUUCGAGUCCCGCCUCCUGCACCA
RNAcentral lists this transfer RNA (87 nucleotides) under bacterium. Its description in RNAcentral is "tRNA-Leu". It matches the Rfam family "tRNA". Rfam says of the family: Transfer RNA (tRNA) molecules are approximately 80 nucleotides in length. The record is from RNAcentral. RNAcentral also lists the same sequence under 1 other name.